AGCAGCCGCGGUAAUUCCAGCUCCAAUAGCGUAUAUUAAAGUUGUUGCAGUUAAAAAGCUCGUAGUUGAAUUUCGGGAUCAAUAUGUUGGUCGUGCCUCGGUACGUACUAGCUUAUUGGUUUCUCCUUUCUGAAGAACCAUGAUGUCAUUUAUUUGGUGUCGUGGGGAAUCAGGACUGUUACUUUGAAAAAAUUAGAGUGUUUAAAGCAGGCUCACGCUUGAAUACAUUAGCAUGGAAUAAUGAAAUAGGACGUUUGAUUCUAUUUUGUUGGUUUUUAGGAUCGACGUAAUGAUUAAUAGGGAUAGUUGGGGGCAUUAGUAUUCAAUUGUCAGAGGUGAAAUUCUUGGAUUUAUUGAAGACUAACUACUGCGAAAGCAUUUGCCAAGGAUGUUUUCAUUAAUCAAGAACGAAAGUUAGGGGAUCGAAGACGAUCAGAUACCGUCGUAGUCUUAACCAUAAACUAUGCCGACUAGGGAUCGGAUGAUGUUAAUUUUUUUAAUGACUCA
Molecule: unclassified non-coding RNA, 507 nt
Filed under: uncultured Glomus
Lineage: Eukaryota; Fungi; Glomeromycota; Glomeromycetes; Glomerales; Glomeraceae
Description: SSU rRNA
Rfam family: Eukaryotic small subunit ribosomal RNA
Source: RNAcentral